Molecule: transfer RNA, 75 nt
Filed under: Candidatus Amesbacteria bacterium RIFCSPHIGHO2_01_FULL_48_32
Lineage: Bacteria; Candidatus Amesiibacteriota
Also listed under: 1 other name
Description: tRNA-Pro
Rfam family: tRNA
About the family: Transfer RNA (tRNA) molecules are approximately 80 nucleotides in length. Their secondary structure includes four short double-helical elements and three loops (D, anti-codon, and T loops). Further hydrogen bonds mediate the characteristic L-shaped molecular structure. tRNAs have two regions of fundamental functional importance: the anti-codon, which is responsible for specific mRNA codon recognition, and the 3' end, to which the tRNAs corresponding amino acid is attached (by aminoacyl-tRNA synthetases). tRNAs cope with the degeneracy of the genetic code in two manners: having more than one tRNA (with a specific anti-codon) for a particular amino acid; and 'wobble' base-pairing, i.e. permitting non-standard base-pairing at the 3rd anti-codon position.
Source: RNAcentral
CGGGGUGUGGUGCAUCGGUAGCACGCCAAGUUCGGGACUUGGAGGCACAGGGUUCAAUUCCCUGCACCCCGACAA